RNAcentral lists this small RNA (718 nucleotides) under Pongo abelii (Sumatran orangutan). Its description in RNAcentral is "processed transcript". Lineage: Eukaryota; Metazoa; Chordata; Mammalia; Primates; Hominidae. The record is from RNAcentral.
GGCUCCACGUGUUCCCCACGUUUGUGGCGUACGAGCUCACGGUGCUGGUGUUCCUCACCUUGUCAGUGGUGGUGAUGAAGUUUCUCCUGGCGGCGCUAGUCCUGUCUCUCAUUCUGCCGAGGAGCAGCCAGUACAUCAAGUGGAUCGUCUCUGCGGGGCUUGCCCAGGUCAGCGAGUUUUCCUUUGUCCUGGGGAGCCGGGCGCGAAGAGCGGGCGUCAUCUCUCGGGAGGUGUACCUCCUUAUACUGAGUGUGACCACGCUCAGCCUCUUGCUCGCCCCGGUGCUGUGGAGAGCUGCAAUCUCAAGGUGUGUGCCCAGACCAGAGAGACGGUCCAGCCUCUGACAGCACAGAGAUGAUGGACAAUGGAAGGGAAGCGUCUGUGGGGAGUGAGCGCUUAGAUGGCCGGCAGCUGCUCCUUCUGGGAAGCUCAUGCCUUGGCAACAGAACAGCUUUCUAGCAAAGCGUCAGUGCAGUCGUGUUCUCCCGGCUUUUACAGAAUAUUCUUGCCCUAUUUUAGAAUUUUCCAGAGUAGUUUAUUUGCAGUCCGUUGAUUAUGUGCAUUAGACCCGGGACACUGCGUUUUACCAAUAGCCUUGAAGGUGGUGCCUGGAUGUGCCUUUUUUUUUCCCUGAAAUUAUUAUUAAUUUUCUAUUGUGAGUUCAUCAGUUCAUAGUUUUUUUAGUAAAGAAGCAAAAUUAAAAGGCUUUUAAAAAUGU